GGCGGCGCGGGAGUGGGUGGGGGGAGAGGACGGCGUGUGCGGCCUCCUCUUUUCUCUCCACGCGCUUCUCCAUAGGACGUGGAUGGGGCUGCUGCUGGCAAGAGCUUAUCCUUAAUAAAUGGUCAGGGUGCCGGACCAGGACCUGGGUUCGAAUUCCGCAGUCGGCCAUUAUGCUCACCUGGCGUGGCCCUAGUGGGGCCGGACGCUACCUCUCUCAGCCCAGCCUAACCUACCUCGCAGGGUUGUCGUGGGGAUUGGGUGAGAAGGGUGAGAGCCAUGUAUGCCACCUCGAAUUCCUUGUUGGAGAAAAGGGGUAUAAAUGCAGUAAAUUAAUAUUAUCGCCUCCCCCGUCUCCCGCCAAAAUAGUCUUUUCUUCAUUGCCUUACUCCUACAGUUAACAGUACAUGGGAGUUUACUUCCCAGGGGUCCCCAUUUGGACUUUCAGCAAGACUGCCUUGCCUCUCGUAGGUUGAUUAGUGGGCCAUGGAGUAAGGUGGUUUGUGGCAGCAUGUAGAUCUUCUGCUCUUGUGGGUAAGAAUGUAAAAAGAUUGGGCCCAAUGGCCCAUCUGGUCCAACAUCCUGUUCUCACAGUGGCCAGCAAGAUGCCUGUGGGAAACCUGCAAACAAGACCGGAGCACAGGAGCACGCCUAUGGUUUUCAGCAGCUGGGACUCAGAAGCAUUAUUGCCUGGGAUGGUGAAGUAGUGGAACCAUCCCCAAGGUAAAAGCUAUUUGCAUUUGGACAAGUUGACUCUACCAUUUUGGAAGUACUGCAUUUUUUUCCUUGAGGUAAGACAUUUGUUGUGAUUUGACUUUAAGAAGGAGGUUUGUUUUGUU
Lacerta agilis (Sand lizard) is the source of this 836-nucleotide long non-coding RNA. RefSeq lists it as uncharacterized. The record is from RefSeq and is a predicted model, not a curated record. Lineage: Eukaryota; Metazoa; Chordata; Lepidosauria; Squamata; Lacertidae. The transcript is spliced from 2 exons.